AACGAACGCUGGCGGCAGGCCUAACACAUGCAAGUCGAGCGAGCAUUUCGGUGCUAGCGGCGGACGGGUGAGUAACGCGUGGGAACGUGCCCUUUUCUGCGGAAUAGUCCUGGGAAACUGGGGGUAAUACCGCAUACGCCCUUUUGGGGAAAGAUUUAUCGGAGAAGGAUCGGCCCGCGUUGGAUUAGGUAGUUGGUGGGGUAAUGGCCCACCAAGCCGACGAUCCAUAGCUGGUUUGAGAGGAUGAUCAGCCACACUGGGACUGAGACACGGCCCAGACUCCUACGGGAGGCAGCAGUGGGGAAUCUUAGACAAUGGGGGCAACCCUGAUCGAGCCAUGCCGCGUGAGUGAUGAAGGCCUUAGGGUUGUAAAGCUCUUUAAGCUGGGAAGAUAAUGACGGUACCAGCAGAAGAAGCCCCGGCUAACUCCGUG
This 433-nucleotide ribosomal RNA is filed under the name uncultured bacterium. RNAcentral's name for it is "partial 16S ribosomal RNA". It matches the Rfam family "Bacterial small subunit ribosomal RNA", at positions 29 to 507 of the family's 1533-position model. The record is from RNAcentral.